RNAcentral lists this long non-coding RNA (616 nucleotides) under Setaria italica (foxtail millet). RNAcentral describes it as "long non-coding RNA (SITA_LNC004039)". Lineage: Eukaryota; Viridiplantae; Streptophyta; Magnoliopsida; Poales; Poaceae. The record is from RNAcentral.
CCUCACUUCGAAACCAAAAACGGUUCCCCUCACAUCGAAACCAAAGUCCUUGGUUGUUCAAUGAACAGUAAAGAAUAUAAGGAUAUGCUAAUCUCAUUCAACAAAAACAUUAGAACACACCAAAGAUACAGCUAUUCCAAACUCCACGCAUAUCACACGCCAUAAUCUAAAUAACACACACACACAAACUAAGGGGGUGUUUGGGAAACACCUGUUAAAGUUUAACACCUGUCACAUCGGAUGUUUGGAUGCUAAUUAGGAGUACUAAACAUAAGCUAAUUACAAAACUAAUUGCACAGAUGGAGUAUAAUUCGCGAGACGAAUCUAUUAAGCCUAAUUAGUCCAUGAUUUGACAAUGUGGUGCUACAGUAACCAUUUGCUAAUGAUGGAUUAAUUAGGCUUAAUAGAUUCGUCUCGCGAAUUAGCACAAGGUUCUGCAAUUAGUUUUAUAAUUAGCUCAUGUUUAGUCCUCCUAAUUAGCAUCCAAACAUCCGAUGUGACACUGUUAAAGUUUAGCACCUCGUAUCCAAACAGCCCCUAAGCAACGAAACGUGCACACGUUGAUCUCGUCGAAGACCUCUCCGGUUCACGGGGCUAGAAGAAGCAUGAACCCGCC